This 370-nucleotide ribosomal RNA is filed under the name uncultured eukaryote. RNAcentral's name for it is "partial small subunit ribosomal RNA". It matches the Rfam family "Eukaryotic small subunit ribosomal RNA", at positions 587 to 972 of the family's 1831-position model. The record is from RNAcentral.
AGCUCCAAAAGCGUAUAUUAAAGUUGUUGCGGUUAAAAAGUUCGUAGUUGGAUCUCUGCUGAGGACAACUGGUCUGCCCUCUGGGUGAGUCACCUGGAAUGGCCUCAGCAUCAUCUUGGAGAACACGGCUGCACUUGACUGUGUGGUGUGGUUUUCAUGGCCUUUUACUUUGAGGAAAUUAGAGUGCUUUGAGCAGGCUCCUGUCUUGAAUACAUUAGCAUGGAAUAAUGAAUAGACAUGCAGCUCUACUUGGUUGGCUUCCGGUGCUAAUAGGGAUAGUGGGGGGCACUCGCAUUUGACUGUCAGAGGUGAAAUUCUUGGAUUUGUUGAAGACGACCUGCAGCGGAAGCAUCUGCCAAAGAUGUUUUCA